GUUGCUAUAGCUCAAAGGCUAGAGUGCGAUACUGUUAAUAUUGAGAGGAAGGUCCGAUCCCUUCUAGUGACU
This 72-nucleotide transfer RNA is filed under the name Kwoniella mangroviensis CBS 8886. Its description in RNAcentral is "tRNA-Asn (GTT) (tRNA-Asn-GTT-4-1)". It matches the Rfam family "tRNA". From Rfam's summary of the family: Transfer RNA (tRNA) molecules are approximately 80 nucleotides in length. The record is from RNAcentral. Lineage: Eukaryota; Fungi; Basidiomycota; Tremellomycetes; Tremellales; Cryptococcaceae.